AUCUUGCACAAUGGGGGCAACCCUGAUGCAGCGACGCCGCGUGAGCGAUGAAGCCCUUCGGGGCGUAAAGCUCUUUCGACCGGAACGAUAAUGACGGUACCGGGAGAAGAAGCUGUGGCUAACUACGUGCCAGCAGCCGCGGUAAUACGUAGGCAGCAAGCGUUGUUCGGAGUUACUGGGCGUAAAGAGUGCGUAGGCGGUUUUCUAAGUUCGGUGUGAAAUCUCCCGGCUUAACUGGGAGGGUGCGCCGAAGACUGGGAAGCUGGAGUGCGGGAAAGGCAGGCGGAAUUCCUGGUGUAGCGGUGAAAUGCGUAGAUAUCAGGAGGAACACCGGCGGUGUAGACGGCUUGCUAGACCAUAACUGACGCUGAGGCACGAAAGCGUGGGUAGCAAACA
This 396-nucleotide ribosomal RNA is filed under the name uncultured bacterium. RNAcentral describes it as "bacterial SSU rRNA". It matches the Rfam family "Bacterial small subunit ribosomal RNA", at positions 361 to 774 of the family's 1533-position model. The record is from RNAcentral.